RNAcentral lists this ribosomal RNA (492 nucleotides) under uncultured bacterium. RNAcentral's name for it is "partial 16S ribosomal RNA". It matches the Rfam family "Bacterial small subunit ribosomal RNA", at positions 29 to 507 of the family's 1533-position model. The record is from RNAcentral.
AGUGAACGCUGGCGGUAGGCCUAACACAUGCAAGUCGAACGGCAGCACAGUAAGAGCUUGCUCUUACGGGUGGCGAGUGGCGGACGGGUGAGGAAUACAUCGGAAUCUACUUUUUCGUGGGGGAUAACGUAGGGAAACUUACGCUAAUACCGCAUACGACCUACGGGUGGAAGCAGGGGAUCUUCGGACCUUGCGCGAUUGAAUGAGCCGAUGUCGGAUUAGCUAGUUGGCGGGGUAAAGGCCCACCAAGGCGACGAUCCGUAGCUGGUCUGAGAGGAUGAUCAGCCACACUGGAACUGAGACACGGUCCAGACUCCUACGGGAGGCGGCAGUGGGGAAUAUUGGACAAUGGGCGCAAGCCUGAUCCAGCCAUACCGCGUGGGUGAAGAAGGCCUUCGGGUUGUAAAGCCCUUUUGUUGGGAAAGAAAAGCAGCAGGUUAAUACCCCGCUGUUCUGACGGUACCCAAAGAAUAAGCACCGGCUAACUUCGUG